Molecule: ribosomal RNA, 459 nt
Filed under: uncultured bacterium
Lineage: Bacteria
Description: bacterial SSU rRNA
Rfam family: Bacterial small subunit ribosomal RNA
Source: RNAcentral
UACGGGAGGCAGCAGUGGGGAAUAUUGCACAAUGGGCGAAAGCCUGAUGCAGCUAUGCCGCGUGUAUGAAGAAGGCCUUAGGGUUGUAAAGUACUUUCAUCGGGGAGGAAAAAACAAAACUAAUAAUUUUAUUUCUUGACGUUACCCGAAAAAGAAGCACCGGCUAACUCCGUGCCAGCAGCCGCGGUAAUACGGAGGGUGCUAGCGUUAAUCAGAAUUACUGGGCGUAAAGAGCACGUAGGUGGUUUUUUUAAGUCAGAUGUGAAAUCCCUGGGCUUAACCUGGAACUGCAUUUUGAAACUGAAAUACUAGAGUAUCGUAGAGGGAGGUAGAAUUCUAGGUGUAGCGGUGAAAUGCGUAGAUAUCUGGAGGAAUACCUGUGGCGAAAGCGGCCUCCUAAACGAAUACUGACACUGAGGUGCGAAAGCGUUGGGGAGCAAACAGGGAUUAGAUACCCGU